AUCCUUGGUGGGGGUCGUGGGCGAAGUUCGUCCGCGGGACUCGGAAUGGCACCAGACUUGGCGGUAGGCUCCGUGUGCCAAAAAUAGGCGACGGGCACAGCCGCGCCCAAAAAACAGCCCCCGAAGGUCGGGGUCCCAAGACCCCCCAGCGGAAAAAUGGCCAAAAAAUGGGUGGGCUAUAGCCUUGGUGGGGGGCGUGGGCGAAGUUCGUCCGCGGGACUCGGAAUGGCACCAGACUUGGCGGUAGGCCUCCGUGUGCCAAAAAUAGGCCACGGGCACAGCCGUGCCCAAAAAACAGCCCCCGAUGUUCGGGGUCCCAAGACCCCCCAGCGGAAAAAUGGCCAAAAAACGGGUGGGCUAUAACCUUGGUGGGGGGCGUGGGCGAAGUUCGUCCGCGGGACUCGGAAUGGCACCAGACUUGGCGGGCGGCCUCCGUGUGCCAAAAAUAGGCCACGGGCACAGCCGCGCCCAAAAAUCAGCCCCCGAAGGUCGGGGUCCCAAGACCCCCCAGCGGAAAAAUGGCCAAAAAACGGGUGGGCUAUAGCCUUGGUGGGGGGCGUGGGCGAAGUUCGUCCGCGGGACUCGGAAUGGCACCAGACUUGGCGGGCGGCCUCCGUGUGCCAAAAAUAGGCCACGGGCACAGCCGCGCCCAAAAACCAGCCCCCGAAGGUCGGGGUCCCAAGACCCCCCAGCGGAAAAAUGGCCAAAAAACGGGUGGGCUAUAGCCUUGGUGGGGGGCGUGGGCGAAGUUCGUCCGCGGGACUCGGAAUGGUACCAGACUUGGCGGGCUGCCUCCGUGUGCCAAAAAUAGGCCACGGGCACAGCCGCCCCCAAAAAUCAGCCCCCGAAGGUCGGGGUCCCAAGACCCCCCAGCGGAAAAAUGGCCAAAAAACGGGUGGGCUAUAGCCUUGGUGGGGGGCGUGGGCGAAGUUUGACCGCGGGACUCGGAAUGGCACCGGACUUGGCGGUAGGCUCUGUGUGCCAAAAAUAGGCCACGGGCACAGCCGCGCCCAAAAAACAGCCCCCGAAGGUCGGGGUCCCAAGACCCGCCAGCGGAAAAAUGGCCAAAAAACGGGUGGGCUAUAGCCUUGGUGGGGGGCGUGGGCGAAGUUCCUCCGCGGGACUCGGAAUGGCACCAGACUUGGCGGGCGGCCUCCGUGUGCCAAAAAUAGGCCACGGGCACAGCCGCACCCAAAACACAGCCCCCGAAGGUCGGGGUCCCAAGACCCCCCAGCGGAAAAAUGGCCAAAAAACGGGUGGGCUAUAGCCUUGGUGGGGGGCGUGGGCGAAGUUCGUCCGCGGGACUCGGAAUGGCACCAGACUUGGCAGGCGGCCUCCGUGUGCCAAAAAUAGGCCACGGGCACAGCCGCGCCCAAAAACCAGCCCCCGAAGGUUGGGGUCCCAAGACCCCCCAGCGGAAAAAUGGCCAAAAAACGGGUGGGCUAUAGCCUUGGUGGGGGGCGUGGGCGAAGUUCGUCCGCGGGACUCGGAAUGGUACCAGACUUGGCGGGCUGCCUCCGUGUGCCAAAAAUAGGCCACGGGCACAGCCGCCCCCAAAAAUCAGCCCCCGAAGGUCGGGGUCCCAAGACCCCCCAGCGGAAAAAUGGCCAAAAAACGGGUGGGCUAUAGCCUUGGUGGGGGGCGUGGGCGAAGUUCGUCCGCGGGACUCGGAAUGGCACCAGACUUGGCGGUAGGCCUCCGUGUGCCAAAAAUAGGCCACGGGCACAGCGGCGCCCAAAAAACAGCCCCCGAAGGUCAGGGUCCCAAGACCCCCCAGCGGAAAAAUGGCCAAAAAACGGGUGGGCUAUAGCCUUGGUGUGGGGCGUGGGCGAAGUUCAUCCGCGGGACUCGGAAUGGCACCAGACUUGGCGGUAGGCCUCCGUGUGCCAAAAAUAGGCCACGGGCACAGCCGCGCCCAAAAAACAGCCCCCGAAGUUCGGGGUCCCAAGACCCCCCAGCGGAUAAAUGGCCAAAAAACGGGUGGGCUAUAGCCUUGGUGGGGGGCGUGGGCGAAGUUCGUCCGCGGGACUCGGAAUGGAACCAGACUUGGCGGGCGGCCUCCGUGUGCCAAAAAUAGGCCACGGGCACAGCCGCACCCAAAAAACAGCCCCCGAAGCUCGGGGUCCCAAGACCCCCCAGCGGAAAAAUGGCCAAAAAACGGGUGGGCUAUAGCCUUUGUGGGGAGCGUGGGCGAAGUUCGUCCGCGGGACUCGGAAUGGCACCAGACUUGGCGGUAGGCCUCCGUGUGCAAAAAAUAGGCCACGGGCACAGCGGCGCCCAAAAAACAGCCCCCGAAGGUCAGGGUCCCAAGACCCCCCAGCGGAAAAAUGGCCAAAAAACGGGUGGGCUAUAGCCUUGGUGGGGGGCGUGGGCGAAGUUCAUCCGCGGGACUCGGAAUGGCACCAGACUUGGCGGUAGGCCUCCGUGUGCCAAAAAUAGGCCACGGGCACAGCCGCGCCCAAAAAACAGCCCCCGAAGUUCGGGGUCCCAAGACCCCCCAGCGGAUAAAUGGCCAAAAAACGGGUGGGCUAUAGCCUUGGUGGGGGGCGUGGGCGAAGUUCGUCCGCGGGACUCGGAAUGGCACCAGACUUGGCGGGCGGCCUCCGUGUGCCAAAAAUAGGCCACGGGCACAGCCGCGCCCAAAAACCAGCCCCCGAAGGUCGGGGUCCCAAGAACCCCCAGCGGAAAAAUGGCCAAAAAACGGGUGGGCUAUAGCCUUGGUGGGGGGCGUGGGUGAAGUUCGUCCGCGGGACUCGGAAUGGUAGCAGACUUGGCGGGCUGCCUCCGUGUGCCAAAAAUAGGCCACGGGCACAGCCGCGCCCAAAAAUCAGCCCCCGAAUGUCGGGGUCCCAACACCCCCCAGCGGAAAAAUGGCCAAAAAACGGGUGGGCUAUAGCCUUGGUGGGGGGCGUGGGCGAAGUUCGUCCGCGGGACACGGAAUGGCACCAGACUUGGUGGGCGGCCUCCGUGUGCCAAAAAUAGGCCACGGGCACA
This 2994-nucleotide long non-coding RNA is filed under the name Citrus x clementina. RNAcentral's name for it is "Citrus clementina (C. clementina) long non-coding RNA (CCLE_LNC005824)". The record is from RNAcentral. Lineage: Eukaryota; Viridiplantae; Streptophyta; Magnoliopsida; Sapindales; Rutaceae.